AAUUUAGCGGCCGCGANUUCGCCCUUCAUGCAAGUCGAACGGAAAGGUCUCUUCGGAGACACUCGAGUGGCGAACGGGUGAGUAACACGUGGGUGAUCUGCCCUGCACUUCGGGAUAAGCCUGGGAAACUGGGUCUAAUACCGGAUAGGACCAUGAGAUGCAUGUCUUAUGGUGGAAAGCUUUUGCGGUGUGGGAUGGGCCCGCGGCUAUCAGCUUGUUGGUGGGGUCACGGCCUACCAAGGCUCCGACGGGUAGCCGGCCUGAGAGGGUGUCCGGCCACACUGGGACUGAGAUACGGCCCAGACUCCUACGGGAGGCAGCAGUGGGGAAUAUUGCACAAUGGGCGCAACCUGAUGCAGCGACGCCGCGUGGGGGAUGACGGCCUUCGGGUUGUAAACCUCUUUCACCAUCGACGAAGGUCCGGGUUUACUCGGAUUGACGGUAGGUGGAGAAGAAGCACCGGCCAACUACGUGCCAGCAGCCGCGGUAAUACGUAGGGUGCGAGCGUUGUCCGGAAUUA
This 520-nucleotide ribosomal RNA is filed under the name uncultured Mycobacterium sp. RNAcentral describes it as "bacterial SSU rRNA". It matches the Rfam family "Bacterial small subunit ribosomal RNA", at positions 33 to 553 of the family's 1533-position model. The record is from RNAcentral. Lineage: Bacteria; Bacillati; Actinomycetota; Actinomycetes; Mycobacteriales; Mycobacteriaceae.